CCUACGGGUGGCAGCAGUGAGGAAUAUUGGUCAAUGGACGAGAGUCUGAACCAGCCAAGUAGCGUGAAGGAUGACUGCCCUAUGGGUUGUAAACUUCUUUUAUAUGGGAAUAAAAUGUUCCACGUGUGGGAUUUUGUAUGUACCAUAUGAAUAAGGAUCGGCUAACUCCGUGCCAGCAGCCGCGGUAAUACGGAGGAUCCGAGCGUUAUCCGGAUUUAUUGGGUUUAAAGGGAGCGUAGGUGGAUUGUUAAGUCAGUUGUGAAAGUUUGCGGCUCAACCGUAAAAUUGCAGUUGAAACUGGCAGUCUUGAGUACAGUAGAGGUGGGCGGAAUUCGGGGUGUAGCGGUGAAAUGCUUAGAUAUCACGAAGAACUCCGAUUGCGAAGGCAGUUCACUGGACUGCAACUGACACUGAGGCUCGAAAGUGUGGGUAUCAAACAGGAUUAGAACCCUUGUAGUC
This 459-nucleotide ribosomal RNA is filed under the name uncultured bacterium. RNAcentral's name for it is "partial 16S ribosomal RNA". It matches the Rfam family "Bacterial small subunit ribosomal RNA", at positions 338 to 795 of the family's 1533-position model. The record is from RNAcentral.